UUAUGGGGAGCCACUAUGGCUGAGAGGGAACAAUCGGUUCCGACCCGAUGAACCUGAUGUGGGUAAUGCCAACGUAGGGAGAAUGCA
This 87-nucleotide non-coding RNA is filed under the name Gemmiger qucibialis. Its description in RNAcentral is "TPP riboswitch (THI element)". It matches the Rfam family "TPP riboswitch aptamer (THI element)", at positions 8 to 91 of the family's 105-position model. From Rfam's summary of the family: Vitamin B(1) in its active form thiamin pyrophosphate (TPP) is an essential coenzyme that is synthesised by coupling of pyrimidine and thiazole moieties in bacteria. Lineage: Bacteria; Bacillati; Bacillota; Clostridia; Eubacteriales; Oscillospiraceae. The record is from RNAcentral.